GCCCCACCCCACUCCAGAGUCUUCCCUUCUGCCCUGUCAGAGCAUAAAUCAAGCAGCAGGGUAGCUUGAAAAUAUGACGAAUACCUUGGCUGGCUCCAGCUUGAAAAGACAAGUGGGGAGGAGAGGGAAUCUAAAGUAACCAGGCCUGGCUGCAAGUGUGGCCAGAAUUCAGUGUUCCUGGAGCUGGCCCCAGUGGCUCGGAGGGCUGGGCGCUGCCAGAGGCGUCUUCCCUGGGGGUAGCCCCAGAGCUCCACGUUUGGAGGAGGAGGAGAGCGCUUUGGUGUCUGUCAAGAACAGUAUUCAGGAAUCUUCGGACACUCCGAGUCCUCACUCACUUCCCCCCACCCAGGCAAUGCUUUACUGGGGAUCCUGCUGCAGCAGGGCCUCAACUGUGUACUUCUGAGACAGACUGGGACCUGCGAAGAAAAGGCCAAAACCCAACUGCCACUCUUGAGGUGCAGGAGCAAAAGCAGGGGACUGAGCUUGCACCACAGCACCAUCAAGCGGAUGAGCAGACCACCUAAGCCAGCCCUGAAGCCCGAACCACCGAUGGGCCCCUAUGCUCACCCCAUUUAAGAGACUGGCCCAAAUCAACCCCCCACCCCCUGCCACCCCUCAUCAGGGAGCAAGCAAGGGAAACUGUUUCUUGUUCUCAUGCCCUCCUGCUGUAAUUGAGUCCCAAUAAAGCCUUGCCUGAAGUCCUUGUCUGGACACCCCUGAGCAACUUAACAAUAAGAGACCAAGAACCCACGUCAGUUAAC
This is a long non-coding RNA of Bos taurus (domestic cattle), 761 nucleotides long. The record is from Ensembl. NCBI's taxonomy places the organism in Eukaryota, Metazoa, Chordata, Mammalia, Artiodactyla, Bovidae.